CUGGGCCUAUAUUGCUGUGGGACCCUUUUGUAUGCUCUGGUAAAAUCCUCAACUUGUUCUAUGGAAAGGCCUCUUCACAUUACUUCUUUCACUUGAUGGUAGACUUGAUUUAUAUUAACCUCAAUUAUAAGAUAUACCAACAUGAUUGCUAUUUCUAGUGCAUCUUAAUUCGAAUUUAGUUGCUGUUUGAAAUUUAAAUUCAACUUUACAAUGCAUUGGAAAUGGCAAUUAUAUUGGUA
RNAcentral lists this long non-coding RNA (239 nucleotides) under Elaeis guineensis (African oil palm). RNAcentral's name for it is "long non-coding RNA (EGUI_LNC011205)". Lineage: Eukaryota; Viridiplantae; Streptophyta; Magnoliopsida; Arecales; Arecaceae. The record is from RNAcentral.